This 497-nucleotide ribosomal RNA is filed under the name uncultured bacterium. Its description in RNAcentral is "partial 16S ribosomal RNA". It matches the Rfam family "Bacterial small subunit ribosomal RNA", at positions 28 to 507 of the family's 1533-position model. The record is from RNAcentral.
GAUGAACGCUGGCGGCGUGCCUAAUACAUGCAAGUCGAGCGAACGGACGAGAAGCUUGCUUCUCUGAUGUUAGCGGCGGACGGGUGAGUAACACGUGGAUAACCUACCUAUAAGACUGGGAUAACUUCGGGAAACCGGAGCUAAUACCGGAUGAUAUUUUGAACCGCAUGGUUCAAAAGUGAAAGACGGUCUUGCUGUCACUUAUAGAUGGAUCCGCGCUGCAUUAGCUAGUUGGUAAGGUAACGGCUUACCAAGGCAACGAUGCAUAGCCGACCUGAGAGGAUGAUCGGCCACACUGGAACUGAGACACGGGCCAGACUCCUACGGGAGGCAGCAGUAGGGAAUCUUCCGCAAUGGGCGAAAGCCUGACGGAGCAACGCCGCGUGAGUGAUGAAGGUCUUCGGAUCGUAAAACUCUGUUAUUAGGGAAGAACAUAUGUGUAAGUAACUGUGCACAUCUUGGCGGUACCUAAUCAGAAAGCCACGGCUAACUACGUG